This 393-nucleotide ribosomal RNA is filed under the name uncultured bacterium. RNAcentral's name for it is "partial 16S ribosomal RNA". It matches the Rfam family "Bacterial small subunit ribosomal RNA", at positions 338 to 729 of the family's 1533-position model. The record is from RNAcentral.
CCUACGGGAGGCAGCAGUGAGGAAUAUUGGUCAAUGGCCGAGAGCCUGAACCAGCCAAGUCGCGUGAGGGAAGACUGCCCUACGGGUUGUAAACUUCUUUUGUCAGGGAACAAAGUCAGGCACGUGUGCCUGUUUGCGUGUACUUGAAGAAAAAGCAUCGGCUAACUCCGUGCCAGCAGCCGCGGUAAUACGGAGGAUGCGAGCGUUAUCCGGAUUUAUUGGGUUUAAAGGGGGCGUAGGGGGGUUGUUAAGUCAGCGGUAAAAUUUUGGGGCUAAACCCCAUAGAGCCGUUGAAACUGGCAGUCUUGAGUAGGCGAGAGGUAGGCGGAAUGCGUGGUGUAGCGGUGAAAUGCAUAGAUAUCGCGAAGAACUCCGAUUGCGAAGGCAGCUUAC